GAAUGCACUAUGUAGCAAGCUCUUGUCUCAAAAAAUUUAAAAAAGUACACAUUGUUCUUGCACAUUGUCUUCUUUGUCCAUUAGCAUGCUUAACAUAUGAAUCAUAGUUAUUUUAAAUUCCUGAUCCAGUAAUUUCAACAUCCCUGCCAUAUCUGAGUCUGGGUAUAGUUCUGAGGCUUGUUCUGUUUCUUCAAACUGAUUUUUUAGAAAAGAAGUGUGAAGGGCUGGAGAUUUAGCUCAGUGGUGCUGCUGCCUGCCUCGAAAGUGCAAGGUCCUGAGUUCGAUCCCCAAUACAAAAAAAAAAAAAAAAAAAGCAUGAAGAGGUUUAUUAGGCAGAUGGGAAAGUUCUGCACACUCACAGAAAGUAGUGUGGGCCUGUGGGAGAGAUCGAGCUGUGUUUCUGUUUCAAUGUCCCUGUCUUUUCUUCACUCUUUUUUUUGUUUUGUUUGUUUUUGGUAGUGGGGAUCCAACUUGGGUCCUUGCGCUUAUGAAGCAGGCAGCAGAACCACUGAGCUAAACCCCCAGCGUCCCUGUCUUUUCUGUUUGAAGCCGGUGCUGGCAUUCAGGGUGAGAGGACCGUAGUACACAGGCCUAUGUGGCUGGCGGUGAGGCAUAGGGCUGGACUUAGUCCUGUGAUCAGGUCUCAAGGAGACUGUCCCUCUGGGCUGUGAUUUCGCACGUGCUUUCUGUGUCUCCCCAGUCAGGUGAGAGGACAGCUGCGGGACUGGCAUCAGGGCUUCCCUUCCCUGAGGACAGACAGCCUUGCCAUCCAGGAAGGGAUUUCGACACCAGACCAGCAAGUUUUUGUAUCGGCCUGGUGGGCUCAGAAGACCUGGCUGUGGACCAGAGCACAGUCAUCAGUCCCUACACUUCCCGGAUCCUAAAGCCCUACAUCAGGUGUGCAGAGAAGAUGCAAGGAUGGGUUAUGCUGGGUGAGGUUUGUGGCAUGCUCGCCCUGGCCUCUUGCUGGAGUGAAUAGGAGACCCAACACCCUGAGCAGGUGCUGGUGGGGGCGGCUUGUCCAUGUCCCCAGUCACCCUUUGCUCCUUCAGUUGUGGCCUUGCAGACAAGAUGAUCCUUUGAAACACAUAAAAAACAAGAUAAGUGAACUGUUGCUAUUUCUUUCUUUCUUUCUUUUUUUUGGUACCUGAGAUCAAACUCAGAUUCUUGAGCUUGUGAGGCAGGUGCGGUUGCCACUAAGCUAAAUCCCCAGCCCAACUGUUGCUAUUUCUUUGUGAUUAUCAUAAAUCAUUGUUUUGUUUUAAAUAUUAAAGUUGUAUAUAUUCAGUAGUAUGUGAAAUUAAAAUAAAAAGGGGAAAGAUGUCACAAUUGAGUGAGCCAGUAUCUGAGCUACAUGUUGGGACCUUUUCUAAUAUGGGUCCAAGCAGUGCACCAGAAGCAGAACUCCCUAGAGAGGCCUGCAGUGGUGCUGGCUGUGUGCUGUAGGCCCAGUGUCUGUGUGGGCCCUGCACUUGCAGUGCCUAUUCACCCAGUCUUCUUUACCUGGCACUGGGUUCUGGGCAGGCCUGUGGGCAGGUGGUCUGUGAGCCUGCCAAUGCCUGGAGAGAACCGUGGGCUGUUGCUUUUCCUCACUUUGUUCACAAAGGCAGCCAGCACCUAGUGUGGUCUCUGGAGGGUGCUGAGGGGUUUGACCUGAUGAAUGAAUGUUAGUAGACUGAAUUUCAGAUUUCAUGCCAAAAAAGUGUUAUAACUAUAAUCAAGCUAGUUAUCACAUAAAAGGAAAGUGGUGCAAAUUAGUUUAAGAUUUCAAAUAUAUCAAAGUAUGUAUGAGUCACAUAACUGGGAAUAAUACUGGGCAUUUUCUUGACUUGACUUUGUUUAUUUUCUGUGUUCUGGAGGCGUGAUUAUGAGACAAAACCACCCAAACUACAGCUUCUGUCCCAGAUUCGUUCCUACCUGCACAGAGGUGACCCUCACUGGAUAUCCGAGCCCGACCACCUCUUGAUUACUGCUAUGUCCGGCCAAAUCACAUCCCAACGAUCAACUCGAUGUGUCAGGAGUUUUUCUGGCCUGGUAUGUUACCCCCUCCAACCCUGGCAGAUGGAUUUCAGUAGACCUCACCCCAGGAGUUUUAAAUCAUUGUAUGCCACAUGACCCUAUGACCUUUCCUCAUGUGAUUUCGUGUAGGUUUGUCUCUACUAAUAUAGAAAUGUUGAAAUUAAAU
This 2185-nucleotide long non-coding RNA is filed under the name Heterocephalus glaber (naked mole-rat). Its description in RNAcentral is "lncRNA (ENSHGLG00000045495.1)". The record is from RNAcentral. Lineage: Eukaryota; Metazoa; Chordata; Mammalia; Rodentia; Bathyergidae.